Molecule: ribosomal RNA, 478 nt
Filed under: uncultured bacterium
Lineage: Bacteria
Description: partial 16S ribosomal RNA
Rfam family: Bacterial small subunit ribosomal RNA
Source: RNAcentral
GACGAACGCUGGCGGCGUGCCUAACACAUGCAAGUCGAACGGUAAGGCCCUUCGGGGUACACGAGCGGCGAACGGGUGAGUAACACGUGGGUGAUCUGCCCUGCACUUCGGGAUAAGCCUGGGAAACUGGGUCUAAUACCGGAUAGGACCACUGCCUGCAUGGGUGGUGGUGGAAAGCUUUUGUGGUGUGGGAUGGGCCCGCGGCCUAUCAGCUUGUUGGUGGGGUGAUGGCCUACCAAGGCGACGACGGGUAGCCGGCCUGAGAGGGUGACCGGCCACACUGGGACUGAGAUACGGCCCAGACUCCUACGGGAGGCAGCAGUGGGGAAUAUUGCACAAUGGGCGCAAGCCUGAUGCAGCGACGCCGCGUGAGGGAUGACGGCCUUCGGGUUGUAAACCUCUUUCAGCACCGACGAAGCGCAAGUGACGGUAGGUGCAGAAGAAGGACCGGCCAACUACGUGCCAGCCGCCGCCGUAA